RNAcentral lists this ribosomal RNA (931 nucleotides) under Leuconostoc mesenteroides. RNAcentral's name for it is "bacterial SSU rRNA". It matches the Rfam family "Bacterial small subunit ribosomal RNA", at positions 152 to 1069 of the family's 1533-position model. Lineage: Bacteria; Bacillati; Bacillota; Bacilli; Lactobacillales; Lactobacillaceae. The record is from RNAcentral.
GGAAACAGAUGCUAAUACCGAAUAAAACUUAGUGUCGCAUGACACAAAGUUAAAAGGCGCUUCGGCGUCACCUAGAGAUGGAUCCGCGGUGCAUUAGUUAGUUGGUGGGGUAAAGGCCUACCAAGACAAUGAUGCAUAGCCGAGUUGAGAGACUGAUCGGCCACAUUGGGACUGAGACACGGCCCAAACUCCUACGGGAGGCUGCAGUAGGGAAUCUUCCACAAUGGGCGAAAGCCUGAUGGAGCAACGCCGCGUGUGUGAUGAAGGCUUUCGGGUCGUAAAGCACUGUUGUAUGGGAAGAACAGCUAGAAUAGGAAAUGAUUUUAGUUUGACGGUACCAUACCAGAAAGGGACGGCUAAAUACGUGCCAGCAGCCGCGGUAAUACGUAUGUCCCGAGCGUUAUCCGGAUUUAUUGGGCGUAAAGCGAGCGCAGACGGUUUAUUAAGUCUGAUGUGAAAGCCCGGAGCUCAACUCCGGAAUGGCAUUGGAAACUGGUUAACUUGAGUGCAGUAGAGGUAAGUGGAACUCCAUGUGUAGCGGUGGAAUGCGUAGAUAUAUGGAAGAACACCAGUGGCGAAGGCGGCUUACUGGACUGCAACUGACGUUGAGGCUCGAAAGUGUGGGUAGCAAACAGGAUUAGAUACCCUGGUAGUCCACACCGUAAACGAUGAACACUAGGUGUUAGGAGGUUUCCGCCUCUUAGUGCCGAAGCUAACGCAUUAAGUGUUCCGCCUGGGGAGUACGACCGCAAGGUUGAAACUCAAAGGAAUUGACGGGGACCCGCACAAGCGGUGGAGCAUGUGGUUUAAUUCGAAGCAACGCGAAGAACCUUACCAGGUCUUGACAUCCUUUGAAGCUUUUAGAGAUAGAAGUGUUCUCUUCGGAGACAAAGUGACAGGUGGUGCAUGGUCGUCGUCAGCUCGUGUCGUG